CCAUGAACAACGCAAAAAAUCACAUUCUUCAAAAAGCGUUCCUACGAGGAUAAUCUUUUACAGAUAGCCUAUGAAGUACGGAAAUCGUCAUACAGAAUGGAGAGGGAUGUGGGAGGUAAUCCCAUAUAGGGUCGAUCUUGGGUGCAGUGCCUGCCUUACACAUGGCAGGGACUGCAAUGAUUGACUGUACAU
RNAcentral lists this small RNA (192 nucleotides) under Aspergillus wentii DTO 134E9. RNAcentral describes it as "A. fumigatus sRNA Afu_182". It matches the Rfam family "A. fumigatus sRNA Afu_182". The record is from Rfam by way of RNAcentral. Lineage: Eukaryota; Fungi; Ascomycota; Eurotiomycetes; Eurotiales; Aspergillaceae.